This is a long non-coding RNA of Mizuhopecten yessoensis (Yesso scallop), 789 nucleotides long. RefSeq lists it as uncharacterized. NCBI's taxonomy places the organism in Eukaryota, Metazoa, Mollusca, Bivalvia, Pectinida, Pectinidae. The transcript has 4 exons. The record is from RefSeq and is a predicted model, not a curated record.
UGCGGACGCUUCCAGUCAUUUAUGAGGUAAUAUGUGUGAGUCAUUGAUAUGACCAGCGGGUCCUGGUAAUACAUACCUCCAUGGACCCGGACGUUAGUAAGCAGACAACAGUCAAUACAGACAUUAGAUAGAGACAGUGGAUACGGACAGUGGACGAGAACACUAGACAAAGACAGUGGUAGUCGACAACGACAGAAGACAGUCGUCAGGCCAGUGGGCAGUAGGGAAGGACAGUGGAAAGUGGACAAGGACAGGACAGGACAGUGGCUAAUACACUUGUCCCGACAUCAAUUUUGUUCGACGGCUACGAUGUAUAGGAGAUGGGAUACACGCCCUCUGGUCCACCAUAGUGACGAUACUGGUGAUACUCGGCACCUUGCUGCAGGAUGUGUUUACGAUACUGAACCACUAGCCAUCCACCACAGUAUCGCGGGUUCGAGGCCUACAUGGGGAAGUCGCCAGAUUUAUGGAACCAACGCAAUAUCAAAGAAUGAAGAAAAUGUUAAUUCGAACUCAAUUUAAGCAUAUGAUACUUAUCGGAUCCGUUAAGAUUUCUUCAAACACCCGUGCCGGUCAGCUUGCUUUAAAUAUAAGCAUGUUUAGAUUAUCCUCAACAUCCAACAGUCUGUCUGCUCGCCUCUUUCGAGGAAGGGAAUGAUCAAAUUCUUGUGGUCAAUGCAGAUAAUACGCGCUCUUCUUCUCUUCGUAUUGAAAAUAGUCAAUUAAUGCUUCGUUUAUCAUGAGUUUUAACAUUCAUGUAUACACAAUUAUUUAAUUAAUAAAAUAUUA